Molecule: ribosomal RNA, 253 nt
Filed under: uncultured bacterium
Lineage: Bacteria
Description: partial 16S ribosomal RNA
Rfam family: Bacterial small subunit ribosomal RNA
Source: RNAcentral
UACGGAGGGUGCAAGCGUUAAUCGGAAUUACUGGGCGUAAAGCGCACGCAGGUGGCUGAGUCAGUCGAUUGUGAAAUCCCCGGGCUUAACCUGGGAACUGCGUUUGAAACUGGGAGGCUGGAGUGCGGCAGAGGGGGGUGGAAUUCCACGUGUAGCAGUGAAAUGCGUAGAUAUGUGGAGGAACACCGAUGGCGAAGGCAGCCCCCUGGGCCUGCACUGACGCUCAUGCACGAAAGCGUGGGGAGCAAACAGG